RNAcentral lists this ribosomal RNA (235 nucleotides) under uncultured bacterium. RNAcentral's name for it is "partial 16S ribosomal RNA". It matches the Rfam family "Bacterial small subunit ribosomal RNA", at positions 121 to 353 of the family's 1533-position model. The record is from RNAcentral.
GCAACCUGCCUACAAGAGGGGGACGAACAGUUGGAAACGACUGCUAAUACCGCAUAAGACCACGCUAUCGCAUGGUAGAGAGGUCAAAGAUUUAUCGCUUGUAGAUGGGCUCGCGUCUGAUUAGCUAGUUGGUGAGGUAAUGGCUCACCAAGGCGACGAUCAGUAGCCGACCUGAGAGGGUGAUCGGCCACACUGGAACUGAGACACGGUCCAGACUCCUACGGGAGGCAGCAUG